Molecule: transfer RNA, 76 nt
Filed under: Mycolicibacterium sp. CBMA 213
Lineage: Bacteria; Bacillati; Actinomycetota; Actinomycetes; Mycobacteriales; Mycobacteriaceae
Also listed under: 1 other name
Description: tRNA-Val
Rfam family: tRNA
About the family: Transfer RNA (tRNA) molecules are approximately 80 nucleotides in length. Their secondary structure includes four short double-helical elements and three loops (D, anti-codon, and T loops). Further hydrogen bonds mediate the characteristic L-shaped molecular structure. tRNAs have two regions of fundamental functional importance: the anti-codon, which is responsible for specific mRNA codon recognition, and the 3' end, to which the tRNAs corresponding amino acid is attached (by aminoacyl-tRNA synthetases). tRNAs cope with the degeneracy of the genetic code in two manners: having more than one tRNA (with a specific anti-codon) for a particular amino acid; and 'wobble' base-pairing, i.e. permitting non-standard base-pairing at the 3rd anti-codon position.
Source: RNAcentral
GGUCUUGUAGCUCAGUCGGAAGAGCGCCUGGUCUACACCCAGGAUGUCGGCGGUUCGAUCCCGUCCGAGACCACCA